UUCCAGCCCCAAUGGCGUAUAUUAAAGUUGUUGCAGUUAAAAAGCUCGUAGUUGGAUCUCGGAUCCCGGCUCGCGGUCCACCUCACGGUGGUUACUGCCCGUUCGGAUCUACCUCCCGGUUUUCCCUUGGUGCUCUUGACUGAGUGUCUCGGGUGGCCGGAACGUUUACUUUGAAAAAAUUAGAGUGUUCAAAGCAGGCGCUUCGCCUGAAUAAUGGUGCAUGGAAUAAUGGAAUAGGACCUCGGUUCUAUUUUGUUGGUUUUCGGAACUUGAGGUAAUGAUUAAGAGGGACAGACGGGGGCAUUCGUAUUACGGUGUUAGAGGUGAAAUUCUUGGAUCGCCGUAAGACGAACUACUGCGAAAGCAUUUGCCAAGAAUGUUUUCAUUA
This 388-nucleotide ribosomal RNA is filed under the name Annelida sp. RNAcentral describes it as "partial small subunit ribosomal RNA". It matches the Rfam family "Eukaryotic small subunit ribosomal RNA", at positions 583 to 975 of the family's 1831-position model. Lineage: Eukaryota; Metazoa; Annelida. The record is from RNAcentral.